CGCUGGCGGCGUGCUUAACACAUGCAAGUCGAACGAUGAAGCCCUUCGGGGUGGAUUAGUGGCGAACGGGUGAGUAACACGUGGGCAAUCUGCCCUUCACUCUGGGACAAGCCCUGGAAACGGGGUCUAAUACCGGAUACCACUCCUGCCUGCAUGGGCGGGGGUUGAAAGCUCCGGCGGUGAAGGAUGAGCCCGCGGCCUAUCAGCUUGUUGGUGGGGUAAUGGCCCACCAAGGCGACGACGGGUAGCCGGCCUGAGAGGGCGACCGGCCACACUGGGACUGAGACACGGCCCAGACUCCUACGGGAGGCAGCAGUGGGGAAUAUUGCACAAUGGGCGAAAGCCUGAUGCAGCGACGCCGCGUGAGGGAUGACGGCCUUCGGGUUGUAAACCUCUUUCAGCAGGGAAGAAGCGAAAGUGACGGUACCUGCAGAAGAAGCGCCGGCU
Molecule: ribosomal RNA, 447 nt
Filed under: uncultured bacterium
Lineage: Bacteria
Description: bacterial SSU rRNA
Rfam family: Bacterial small subunit ribosomal RNA
Source: RNAcentral